AAGUUUUUGACGAUUUUUCUUUAUGUUAUUUGGGAGUUACGGUCUAUGAUUGACGAAAGAUGAUACUUUUGGCAUUUACUUAUGCAAUUCCAUUUAUUACGAAAGCGUAUUAGGGUCAUCCUUUUUUAUUUAUUUUUUUUCAAAUUGUCGACUUUGAUCUUGGAAUUAUCAACUUUAAUCUUGCAAUUUCCAACUUUAAUCUUGGAAUUAUCAAUUUUAAUCUGGGUGGACUGAGGGUUAACUUCGAUUUUUUUUGGGGGGUAGGGUUGUGCUAUGUUUGUCUAAAACAAUGUACCCAUUUUUAUAUAAUAUUAACUAAUAUCUAGUACCUAUAUUUAUAUAUUAAAAUUGUGACCCGCCAUGAC
Molecule: long non-coding RNA, 365 nt
Filed under: Mytilus galloprovincialis (Mediterranean mussel)
Lineage: Eukaryota; Metazoa; Mollusca; Bivalvia; Mytilida; Mytilidae
Source: RNAcentral